Molecule: unclassified non-coding RNA, 293 nt
Filed under: fungal sp.
Lineage: Eukaryota; Fungi
Description: partial internal transcribed spacer region
Rfam family: Eukaryotic small subunit ribosomal RNA (bases 1-46)
Source: RNAcentral
AAGUCGUAACAAGGUUUCCGUAGGUGAACCUGCGGAAGGAUCAUUAAUGAUAUGAUAAUUUUUUGGGGUUUUUCCCUGAAAAAUAAUUCACCUUUUGUGCACUGUUAUAAGAUAUACUUUGGUUAGAGCUUUGAUUUCAUUUAAUGGAAUCAACUUCUUGCUGACUCUAUCCUUUCUGAGGACAGUUGGCUAUGAAGCGGCCUACCAAGGUUUUUUAUCAAACACAUGUAUUUUGUCUGACCUAAAAUCAAAUAAUUAAAUCAUAACUUUCAACAACGGAUCUCUUGGCUCUC